This 152-nucleotide long non-coding RNA is filed under the name Monodelphis domestica (gray short-tailed opossum). Its description in RNAcentral is "lncRNA (ENSMODG00000040156.1)". Lineage: Eukaryota; Metazoa; Chordata; Mammalia; Didelphimorphia; Didelphidae. The record is from RNAcentral.
CUAGCUAGCAAAGCCAAAAAGGAAUUCUUUUGAAAAGCCUAGGCUGGUGCCUUGCUUAAGCUCAGGAGUUCUAAACUGCAGUUGGGCAGAAGCCAAAUAGAAGUCCACUUUAACUGUGGGGUAAAUAUGGCAAGAAUCAUAUUGAGGAAAGG